GACGAACGCUGGCGGCGUGCUUAACACAUGCAAGUCGAACGGAAAGGCCCUGCUUUUGUGGGGUGCUCGAGUGGCGAACGGGUGAGUAACACGUGAGUAACCUGCCCUUGACUUUGGGAUAACUUCAGGAAACUGGGGCUAAUACCGGAUAGGAGCUCCUGCUGCAUGGUGGGGGUUGGAAAGUUUCGGCGGUUGGGGAUGGACUCGCGGCUUAUCAGCUUGUUGGUGGGGUAGUGGCUUACCAAGGCUUUGACGGGUAGCCGGCCUGAGAGGGUGACCGGCGAAAGUGGGAAUGAGAGAAGGGCGGGACGAAGAAGGGAGGCAGAAGGGGGGAAGAGGGAAGAAGGGGCGGACGAAGGAAGCAGCAACGCCGGGUGAGGGAGGACGGACGGAGGGAUGGAAACAGAGGGCGCAUGUGAAGAAGCGGGAGGGACGGUAAUGGGUAAAGAAGCAACGGAUAAAUACGUG
This 468-nucleotide ribosomal RNA is filed under the name uncultured bacterium. Its description in RNAcentral is "partial 16S ribosomal RNA". It matches the Rfam family "Bacterial small subunit ribosomal RNA", at positions 28 to 507 of the family's 1533-position model. The record is from RNAcentral.